GAUGAACGCUGGCGGCGUGCCUAAUACAUGCAAGUCGAGCGAACGGACGAGAAGCUUGCUUCUCUGAUGUUAGCGGCGGACGGGUGAGUAACACGUGGAUAACCUACCUAUAAGACUGGGAUAACUUCGGGAAACCGGAGCUAAUACCGGAUGAUAUUUUGAACCGCAUGGUUCAAAAGUGAAAGACGGUCUUGCUGUCACUUAUAGAUGGAUCCGCGCUGCAUUAGCUAGUUGGUAAGGUAACGGCUUACCAAGGCAACGAUGCAUAGCCGACCUGAGAGGUUGAUCGGCCACACUGGAACUGAGACACGGUCCAGACUCCUACGGGAGGCAGCAGUAGGGAAUCUUCCGCAAUGGGCGAAAGCCUGACGGAGCAACGCCGCGUGAGGGAGGAAGGUCUUCGGAUCGUAAAACUCUGUUAUUAGGGAAGAACAUAUGUGUAAGUAACUGUGCACAUCUUGACGGUACCUAAUCAGAAAGCCACGGCUAACUACGUG
RNAcentral lists this ribosomal RNA (497 nucleotides) under uncultured bacterium. Its description in RNAcentral is "partial 16S ribosomal RNA". It matches the Rfam family "Bacterial small subunit ribosomal RNA", at positions 28 to 507 of the family's 1533-position model. The record is from RNAcentral.